This 253-nucleotide ribosomal RNA is filed under the name uncultured bacterium. RNAcentral describes it as "partial 16S ribosomal RNA". It matches the Rfam family "Bacterial small subunit ribosomal RNA", at positions 524 to 776 of the family's 1533-position model. The record is from RNAcentral.
UACAGAGGGGGCAAGCGUUAUUCGGAAUAACUGGGCUUAAAGGGCGCGUAGGCGGGCCGCCAAGUUCGAGGUGAAAUCCUCCGGCUCAACCGGAGAACUGCCUCGAAUACUGGAGGCCUCGAGGCGGGUAGGGGCGUGCGGAACUGUGGGUGGAGCGGUGAAAUGCGUUGAUAUCCACAGGAACUCCGGUGGCGAAGGCGGCACGCUGGACCCGAUCUGACGCUGAGGCGCGAAAGCCAGGGGAGCAAACGGG